UAGUAAAGGAGGGGGUUAGCCGACAUUCUUGG
This 32-nucleotide transfer RNA is filed under the name Pristimantis ridens (pygmy robber frog). RNAcentral describes it as "partial tRNA-Met". Lineage: Eukaryota; Metazoa; Chordata; Amphibia; Anura; Strabomantidae. The record is from RNAcentral.